UUAAUCUGGGUUUUCUCAUUUCUCAUUUCGCCCGCCCUUCCAAUUAUGGUGAACCACUACCAGUUGAAGCUGCCAGCAUGAUCUUAACUUUUCUCUCCUUUUUUUUGUUUUGUUUUCAUGGUUGAGGAAAGAUCAGAUCAUAUGGCAGUUUCACCUGUUGUUGCUUUGCCUUCUCAUCCACAACGGAACCCGCAAUCCCUAAAAAUUAGCCCUAAUUUUCACCUCAUUGACCUUCCGUUUGGUUCGAUCCCCUUCAUAAUUGAGAAAUUAGGGUUUGUGAUUCCUUCAAAGCUUCUGAUCAUGGCGGCGGGUUUAUCUUUAAGCUCUUUCCAGCUAGGUCUGAUAUGGGUAAGAUUUUACUUCGCCAUAAGCAUUUUCUCUUUUUCCUUCUCAUUAUUGGAUUUUGAUUCGGUCUGAGUUGGUUGAGGAAAAAGAAAGGGUGUUUUUCUGAAGGAAAGAUUCUGCAAGAGUGACCCUAAUUAUUAAGAUUUCUGGAGUUGCUAUUUGUCUGUUUCAUAUUGUUUUUGGGAUUGAUGCCCUCCAGUAUUUUCACAUGUUCUGAAUUUAUCUCUUUGGUCUCUUUAAGAAAGAGAGAGAGAGAGAGAAACAGAAGAAAUUGAGCAUUAACUAUCCUUCUGCAAAGAACUGGAUGAUAAGUCAUAAUAUAGCACCAGUUUUAACGGCUUUAAAACAACUGUUCACCAAACUCAUGAUCCCGGCGUAUCUCAAUACAUAAAGGUAAGCCUAAAGCCUGUGAUUAAGAAGAUGACAGACACCUUUUGGAUUGGAUUUCAUUACCAUCUUAAUUAAUUACCUUAAUCCUUUUCAAUUAGUGUCCUAAAUCCUAAUGAUCGAUCCAUUUACUCUCUUAUUUUUGGUAUGAAUCUGUAAGGGGUUGAACAAGGAUUUGUCCAUGCAGAGAAGUUUGAUAGUGUGUGAGUAGUAGGCACUGGGUUUUGUAGAUGCCAUUUCAGGCUGCCUACGAAAAGUAGCCCUCUGAAGCAAAACUUGAUUCUUCUUUUUGCCCCCUUAGGUUUCACAAAAGAGAGGUAUAUUGGUGAAUAGUGUGGGCAGGACGAGGGUUGUUUUUAUUUCUUCCUUGGUACUGUUUGGAAGACCAUGUUGCAUAGUGUAUGUACUUCUACAAAAAUAUCUUACUUGGGAACAUGAAUGGAGUACAAUUUCUUGCAAUUUCUUCAA
Molecule: long non-coding RNA, 1200 nt
Organism: Cucurbita moschata (crookneck pumpkin)
Lineage: Eukaryota; Viridiplantae; Streptophyta; Magnoliopsida; Cucurbitales; Cucurbitaceae
Exons: 2
Source: RefSeq, a predicted model, not a curated record